RNAcentral lists this ribosomal RNA (292 nucleotides) under uncultured bacterium. RNAcentral describes it as "partial 16S ribosomal RNA". It matches the Rfam family "Bacterial small subunit ribosomal RNA", at positions 505 to 796 of the family's 1533-position model. The record is from RNAcentral.
GUGCCAGCAGCCGCGGUAAUACGAAGGGGGCUAGCGUUGCUCGGAAUUACUGGGCGUAAAGCGCACGUAGGCGGCCAUGAUAGUCAGAUGUGAAAGGCCUGGGCUCAACCCGGGAAUUGCAUUUGAUACUGCAUGGCUAGAGUCCAAGAGAGGGUAGUGGAAUUCCCAGUGUAGAGGUGAAAUUCGUAGAUAUUGGGAAGAACACCAGUGGCGAAGGCGGCUACCUGGCUUGGUACUGACGCUCAGGUGCGAAAGCGUGGGGAGCGAACAGGAUUAGAUACCCGCGUAGUCC